AACGAGGUAGCUGCAGUAGCGGAGUCAGGGAAUUUGGCAAAGGAGAUUUUUACAAUUAAAUUAACCGAAAAAACUAUAAAUAAUAUUAGAUUACGAGUUAAAUGAAUUAUAUCAUGGAUUUAAUUAUGUGAACAAUUUUGUCCCAAGUGUGUACGUACUUGAGUCCGGCGAUGGUGGGGUGCAGUUCGAGACGCAGGUACUU
This 202-nucleotide long non-coding RNA is filed under the name Linum usitatissimum (flax). RNAcentral's name for it is "long non-coding RNA (LUSI_LNC000027)". Lineage: Eukaryota; Viridiplantae; Streptophyta; Magnoliopsida; Malpighiales; Linaceae. The record is from RNAcentral.